This 253-nucleotide ribosomal RNA is filed under the name uncultured bacterium. RNAcentral's name for it is "partial 16S ribosomal RNA". It matches the Rfam family "Bacterial small subunit ribosomal RNA", at positions 524 to 776 of the family's 1533-position model. The record is from RNAcentral.
UACGUAGGGGGCAAGCGUUGUCCGGAUUUAUUGGGCGUAAAGAGCGUGUAGGCGGCUUUACAGGUCCGUUGUGAAAACUCGAGGCUCAACCUCGAGACGCCGGUGGAAACCGUAAGGCUAGAGUCCGGAAGAGGAGAGUGGAAUUCCUGGUGUAGAGGUGAAAUUCGUAGAUAUUAGGAAGAACACCGGUGGCGAAGGCGGCCCACUGGAUCGGUACUGACGCUGAGGUGCGAAAGCGUGGGGAGCAAACGGG